This 160-nucleotide ribosomal RNA is filed under the name uncultured bacterium. RNAcentral's name for it is "partial 16S ribosomal RNA". It matches the Rfam family "Bacterial small subunit ribosomal RNA", at positions 355 to 507 of the family's 1533-position model. The record is from RNAcentral.
UGGGGAAUAUUGGACAAUGGGCGAAAGCCUGAUCCAGCCAUGCCGCGUGCGUGAAGAAGGUCUUCGGAUUGUAAAGCACUUUAAGUUGGGAGGAAGGGCAUUUACCUAAUACGUAAUUGUUUUGACGUUACCGACGGAAUAAGCACCGGCUAACUCUGUG